Molecule: ribosomal RNA, 845 nt
Filed under: uncultured Dinobryon
Lineage: Eukaryota; Chrysophyceae; Chromulinales
Description: partial Bacterial large subunit ribosomal RNA
Rfam family: Bacterial large subunit ribosomal RNA
Source: RNAcentral
UCUAAAGGGAAACAGCCCAGACUAUCGGCUAAGGUCCCUAACUUUGUGCUAAGUGGGAAAGGAUCUGAAGACGCCCAGACAACCAGGAGGUUGGCUUAGAAGCAGCCAUCCUUUAAAGAAAGCGUAACAGCUCACUGGUCUAAAUAAGGGUCUUUGCGCCGAAAAUGUAACGGGGCUUAAGCCAUACACCGAAGCUUUGGGUUCGAGCAGCAAUGCUUGAGCGGUAGCGGAGCGUUCCGUAGGCCGAUGAAGCCGCAUCCGUGAGGAGCGGUGGAGGUAUCGGAAGUGCGAAUGCUGACAUGAGUAACGAUAAAGAGGGUGAGAGACCCUCUCGCCGUAAGUCCAAGGGUUCCUGCUUAAAGUUAAUCUGAGCAGGGUUAGCCGGUCCCUAAGGCGAGGCCGAAAGGCGUAGUCGAUGGGAAUCACGUUAAUAUUCGUGAGCCUGGAGGUAGUGACGGAUCGCGUGUGUUGUCAGUCCUUAUUGGAUUGGUCUGGCGGCGAAGCGGUUCCAGGAAAUAGCUCCUCCUUAUAGUCCGUACCCUAAACCGACACUGGUGGACUGGUAGAGAAUACCAAGGCGCUUGAGAGAACUCUGCUGAAGGAACUCGGCAAAUUACACGCGUAACUUCGGAAGAAGCGUGACCAUUCGACGGGCAACCGUCGGGUGGUGGCACAGACCAGGGGGUAGCGACUGUUUAUCAAAAACACAGGGCUCUGCGAAGCCGCAAGGCGACGUAUAGGGUCUGACGCCUGCCCGGUGCCGGAAGGUUAAAAGGAGGGGUGCAAGCUCCGAAUUGAAGCCCCAGUAAACGGCGGCCGUAACAAUAACGGUCCUAAGGUAGCGA